This 81-nucleotide transfer RNA is filed under the name Zavarzinia compransoris. It matches the Rfam family "tRNA". From Rfam's summary of the family: Transfer RNA (tRNA) molecules are approximately 80 nucleotides in length. Lineage: Bacteria; Pseudomonadati; Pseudomonadota; Alphaproteobacteria; Rhodospirillales; Zavarziniaceae. The record is from Rfam by way of RNAcentral.
GCCCGCUUGGCGGAAUUGGUAGACGCAAGCGACUUAAAAUCGCUCGGCUUUGCCGUGCCGGUUCGAUCCCGGCAGCGGGCA